AACGAACGCUGGCGGCGUGCCUAACACAUGCAAGUCGAACGGAGAUAAGGGGCUUGCUCCUUAUUUUAGUGGCGCACGGGUGAGUAACGCGUAGAUAAUCUGCCUGAUGAUUUGGGAUAACAGUUCGAAAGGACUGCUAAUACCGGAUAAGCCCACGGGGUCUUUGGACUCUGCGGGAAAAGGGGGGGACCUUCGGGCCUUCUGUCAUCAGAUGAGUCUGCGUACCAUUAGCUAGUUGGUAGGGUAAUGGCCUACCAAGGCUACGAUGGUUAGCUGGUCUGAGAGGAUGAUCAGCCACACUGGAACUGGGACACGGUCCAGACUCCUACGGGAGGCAGCAGUGGGGAAUUUUGCGCAAUGGGCGAAAGCCUGACGCAGCAACGCCGCGUGAGUGAUGAAGGUUUUCGGGUCGUAAAGCUCUGUCAGAGGGAAAGAAGUGUAUUAUGGCUAAUAUCCACGAUACUUGACGGUACCCUCAAAGGAAGCACCGGCUAACUCCGUGCCAGCCGCCGCAGUAA
This 518-nucleotide ribosomal RNA is filed under the name uncultured bacterium. RNAcentral's name for it is "partial 16S ribosomal RNA". It matches the Rfam family "Bacterial small subunit ribosomal RNA", at positions 29 to 523 of the family's 1533-position model. The record is from RNAcentral.